Molecule: ribosomal RNA, 376 nt
Filed under: uncultured organism
Description: bacterial SSU rRNA
Rfam family: Bacterial small subunit ribosomal RNA
Source: RNAcentral
CAGAGGAGCCAAGCGUUGUCCGGAUUGACUGGGCGUAAAGCGCACGCAGGCGGUCGCGCGCGUGGGGUGUGAAAUCUGGCCGCUUAACGGCCAGGCGCCAUCCCAUACGGCGCGACUGGAGUGAUGCAGAGGUCGAUGGAAUUGCCGGUGUAGUGGUGAAAUGCGUAGAGAUCGGCAGGAACACCCAGGGGGAAACCAGUCGACUGGGCAUCUACUGACGCUGAGGUGCGAGAGCGUGGGGAGCGAACCGGAUUAGAUACCCGGGUAGUCCACGCCGUAAACGAUGGCCACUCGGCCUUUGGAGGCGGAAUCUCCGUCUUUGGGGGCCUUAGCUAACGCGGGAAGUGGCCCGCUGGGAACUACGAGCGCAAGCUUA